This 126-nucleotide non-coding RNA is filed under the name Anaerolineae bacterium. Lineage: Bacteria; Bacillati; Chloroflexota; Anaerolineae. The record is from RNAcentral.
GGGGGUGAACUAGUUUCGACGGGGUGUGCUGUCCGGCGAGUAGCGCGAAGGCGCAUCGCAAACCCGUGAAAACCGGACGCAACAGGUACAUCUCGGACGCGCGUGCAAUUCGCGCCACCUCCACAC